UACGGGGGGAGCAAGCGUUGUUCGGAUUUACUGGGCGUAAAGGGCGCGUAGGCGGCCACUGCAAGUCAGUUGUGAAAUCUCCGGGCUUAACCCGGAAAGGUCAACUGAUACUGCAGGGCUAGAGUGCAGAAGGGGCAACUGGAAUUCUCGGUGUAGCGGUGAAAUGCGUAGAUAUCGAGAGGGACACCUGCGGCGAAGGCGGGUUGCUGGGCUGACACUGACGCUGAGGCGCGAAAGCCAGGGGAGCGAACGGG
RNAcentral lists this ribosomal RNA (254 nucleotides) under uncultured bacterium. RNAcentral describes it as "partial 16S ribosomal RNA". It matches the Rfam family "Bacterial small subunit ribosomal RNA", at positions 524 to 776 of the family's 1533-position model. The record is from RNAcentral.